This 70-nucleotide transfer RNA is filed under the name Anolis meridionalis. RNAcentral describes it as "tRNA-Ala". Lineage: Eukaryota; Metazoa; Chordata; Lepidosauria; Squamata; Anolidae. The record is from RNAcentral.
UAAGACUUAUGGAAAACUAACCCAUAUCUUAUGAAUGCAACUCAAAUACUUUUAUUAAGCUAAAGCCUUC